Long non-coding RNA from Oncorhynchus masou masou (cherry salmon), 1156 nucleotides. RefSeq lists it as uncharacterized. The record is from RefSeq and is a predicted model, not a curated record. NCBI's taxonomy places the organism in Eukaryota, Metazoa, Chordata, Actinopteri, Salmoniformes, Salmonidae. The transcript has 8 exons.
AACGAUGGAGAGAGGCAGAGGAGGGCAAAAACUAAAGCAGGAAGUACCAGUGACUUGCUCAAUACGGAAGUGGUCAGAUGAUGUGGAUGCUAUGCCACAUGACUGUUUUGCAAGCACAGACUGGAAUAUGCUCCGGGAUUCAUCCAAAGGCAUUGAGGAGUAUAUCACCUCAGUCAUCGGCUUCAUCAAUAAGUGCAUCGACGACGUCAGCCCCACAAUGACCAUGAACCAUCAAACAGGCAAAGCGUCAAUACAGGAUUAAGACUGAAUCCUACUACACUGGCUCUGACACUCGUCGGAUGUGGAAGGGCUUAAAAACUAUUACGGACUGCAAAGGGAAACGCCGCCGCGAGCUGCCCAGUGACGCAAGCAUACCAGCUGGGCCAAAUGCAAGCUAAAUUUGAGGUCAGAAAGCUGUUUGAAAGGCGAUCCCGUAAUGACGACAUCUGUUAUCACAUGGUCGUUGACACGUAGCACUCGAAAUCUGACGUCAUCCUGUCCAAACCCACAGCUGCCAGACAGCAUUCCAACCUCUGAUUGGUUCUGACAAGCCUCUGACAGCUCUGGAGGGUCCAUCUCUGCAGACAUUGGGAGCUGUCAUUCCGCGACACCCUGUGACGUGGCUGACACUCAGCCAUUAUGACAAGUGCUGGACAGCAGGCACUGUUCUAGGCAGUCUGGCUGUAUAUCUUCAGCGACACACAGAGGAUUCCGAUUCAAGCGAAUCGUCUUGGAGGUCUGAUUAACAUCAAGUCACCCUGGUCAAACCACCAUUGUCACUGCCCUAGCUGUUUCUGUAUCUCUGUCUGUGAAUGUCAGUGUGUGUAGUGUUUUGCGUUCCAUCUCUUCAAACCUGUGUGAACCAGAGGACUCCCUGUGGAGUGACAUUUUGGGGGAGAGACAAAGGAGAAUGGCACACUUUAACCAGACCCCCUGACAAACAUGGCUACACUACAAACGUUCCUCUGUCUGGUUCUGGAUGAAACACUUCUGCUGACACGAUGAGACAUUCAACAAGCCGGACAAAAGGUUAAGUUUGGAAAGAUCAGAUAACAUUCAGUACAAAAGCCACCUGAACACUGUCUCCAAGUGGCAUCUUUGAAUAGGACAUCUCCCUGUGUAAAAACUCCUGUCUCAUUUCUACAUCUCUCCAGCU